RNAcentral lists this signal recognition particle RNA (265 nucleotides) under Bacillota bacterium. RNAcentral describes it as "signal recognition particle sRNA large type". It matches the Rfam family "Bacterial large signal recognition particle RNA". Rfam says of the family: The signal recognition particle (SRP) is a universally conserved ribonucleoprotein involved in the co-translational targeting of proteins to membranes. Archaeal SRP consists of a 7S RNA and homologues of the eukaryotic SRP19 and SRP54 proteins. In most bacteria, the SRP consists of a 4.5S RNA and the Ffh protein (a homologue of the eukaryotic SRP54 protein). Lineage: Bacteria; Bacillati; Bacillota. The record is from RNAcentral.
UGGCGCUAGACGGGGAGCUAGCGGUGCCCUUUACCUGCAAUCCGCUUUAUGCAGGGUUGAAUUCCUCUCCCAGGUUAUUUUGCCUCAGGACUGACAAGAUUAAGCAGCGUUGAAAGUUGGGCUCCACGCGGCAAACCCUGACCAACCCCGCCAGGCCCGGAAGGGAGCAACGGUCCAUCAGGCUCUUUGCAGGCCGUGGGUUUCCUGACUGGAGCAGGCUGGUUUUGUAACGCUCAGGUAAAAUCAAUCAAAGAGAGGUGCGCCA